ACAGUACUCCCUCCGUUCCGAAUUACUUGUCUUAAAUUUGUCUAGAUACAAAGGUAUCUAGCACUAAAAUGAGUCUAAAUACAUCCGUAUCUAGACAAAUUCAAGACAAGUAAUUCGGAUACCUUCGCAUCUAGACAAAUCUAAGACAAAUAAUUCGGAAAGGAGGGAGUACAAU
Non-coding RNA from Triticum aestivum (bread wheat), 175 nucleotides. The record is from Rfam. NCBI's taxonomy places the organism in Eukaryota, Viridiplantae, Streptophyta, Magnoliopsida, Poales, Poaceae.